UACGUAGGGUGCAAGCGUUAAUCGGAAUUACUGGGCGUAAAGCGUGCGCAGGCGGCUUUGCAAGACAGAUGUGAAAUCCCCGGGCUCAACCUGGGAACUGCAUUUGUGACUGCAAGGCUGGAGUACGGCAGAGGGGGGUGGAAUUCCACGUGUAGCAGUGAAAUGCGUAGAGAUGUGGAGGAACACCGAUGGCGAAGGCAGCCCCCUGGGUUAACACUGACGCUCAGGCACGAAAGCGUGGGGAGCAAACAGG
RNAcentral lists this ribosomal RNA (253 nucleotides) under uncultured bacterium. Its description in RNAcentral is "partial 16S ribosomal RNA". It matches the Rfam family "Bacterial small subunit ribosomal RNA", at positions 524 to 776 of the family's 1533-position model. The record is from RNAcentral.